RNAcentral lists this ribosomal RNA (427 nucleotides) under uncultured bacterium. RNAcentral describes it as "bacterial SSU rRNA". It matches the Rfam family "Bacterial small subunit ribosomal RNA", at positions 355 to 796 of the family's 1533-position model. The record is from RNAcentral.
CCGAGAAUAUUCGACAAUGGGCGAAAGCCUGAUCGAGCGAUACCGCGUGGUGGAUGAAGCGCUUCGGCGCGUAAACAUCUUUUAUGGAGGAGGAAGUUAUUGACGUUACUCCAUGAAUAAGGGGCUCCUAACUCUGUGCCAGCAGGAGCGGUAAUACAGAGGCCCCAAGCAUUACCCGGAAUUACUGGGCGUAAAGGGUGCGUAGGUGGUCGUGUUAGUCGUCCGUUAAAAACCAGGGCUCAACCCUGGAAAUGCGGGCGAAACGGCACGACUCGAGGGCGUGAGAGGUACAGGGAACUCUAGGUGUAGGGGUGAAAUCCGUUGAUAUCUAGGGGAACACCGAAAGCGAAGGCACUGUACUGGCGCGUUCCUGACACUCAAGCACGAAAGCGUGGGUAGCGAACGGGAUUAGAUACCCCCGUAGUCC